This is a long non-coding RNA of Leptidea sinapis, 358 nucleotides long. RefSeq lists it as uncharacterized. The record is from RefSeq and is a predicted model, not a curated record. The transcript has 3 exons. Lineage: Eukaryota; Metazoa; Arthropoda; Insecta; Lepidoptera; Pieridae.
GGCAUCUCGGCAGGCCACUUCCAUGCUCCUCGGCUAACCCACAGUGCAUACUCCAAUAAACUCAACCCAUCAUUUGGGUAUCGUUAGCGUAUCGUGUCGUGUCGUGUCGGAAUCCUAACGGGCUAUCAUAUUGUGUUUAUUCGCAAAGCCGGUUGCUGAGUACCAGUUAUGCAAUCAUCAAGCCGAUAAUCAUGCAGCCAUUGUACCUGAGAAUGAAGAACAUAGAAGUCCAACCAAUAAAUACAGCCGGUGUAAAACUCGGGAUAUCAUCGCAGUGGCAAGAUCCUUGAGAAGAUAAGGUGAAGAAUUGCUUGACAAACAUCGGCUGCUAUCAAAAAUAAAUAUUGGAUUGCCUGCA